UGGGGAAUAUUGCACAAUGGGCGAAAGCCUGAUGCAGCGACGCCGCGUGAGGGAUGACGGCCUUCGGGUUGUAAACCUCUUUCAGUAGGGACGAAGCGCAAGUGACGGUACCUGCAGAAGAAGCACCGGCUAACUACGUGCCAGCAGCCGCGGUAAUACGUAGGGUGCGAGCGUUGUCCGGAAUUACUGGGCGUAAAGAGCUCGUAGGCGGUUUGUCACGUCGUCUGUGAAAUCCUAGGGCUUAACCCUGGACGUGCAGGCGAUACGGGCUGACUUGAGUACUACAGGGGAGACUGGAAUUUCUGGUGUAGCGGUGGGAUGCACAGAUAUCAGGAAGAACACCGAUGGCGAAGGCAGGUCUCUGGGUAGUAACUGACGCUGAGGAGCGAAAGCAUGGGUAGCGAACAGG
RNAcentral lists this ribosomal RNA (409 nucleotides) under bacterium. RNAcentral's name for it is "partial 16S ribosomal RNA". It matches the Rfam family "Bacterial small subunit ribosomal RNA", at positions 355 to 776 of the family's 1533-position model. The record is from RNAcentral.